GUAUGUGGCUUAAUUUGACUCAACGCGGAAAAGCUUAUCUGGUCCGGACACAGUGAGGAUUGACAGACAGUUGGCAGGAGUGGUUCUUGGUAAAAACAAAUGAGAGAGUUGAAGUUCUUUCAUGAUCUUGUGAGAGGUGGUGCAUGGCCGUUCUUAGUUCGUGUAGUGAUAUGUCUGCCUAAUCGCGUCACGAUAACCUAUUGGUCGACAACCCAAUUAUCACAACUGCAGCAUAACUCCCCUUGGGUGGGCGAGGCUCUGUGUAGGAUAGACCUCUGAACAGUACGCAACGAACGCGAUCGUAAUCCCUUGUUGAGUGGCCAUCCUGUAAGCUGCUGGAUUUGAAACCCAGUGGUAUUAUCUCAGCCACAGAUUUUCUGGUUGUAAUGGGCCAGUUUUGAAACUCGGGGAACAUCUGUGACUUUCUUUCUUAACGCAGAGGAAGGUUAUGGCAAUAACA
Molecule: ribosomal RNA, 460 nt
Filed under: Globigerina bulloides
Lineage: Eukaryota; Foraminifera; Rotaliida; Globigerinidae
Description: bacterial SSU rRNA
Rfam family: Eukaryotic small subunit ribosomal RNA
Source: RNAcentral